AAAGACUUGACGGUACUUCACAUCAACCUAGAGGAGCCUGUCCGAUAACCGAUACCCCACGAUUAACCCAACCUACUCUAGCCCAUCAGUCUAUAUACCGCCGUCGCCAGCCCACCUUGUGAAAGAAAUAAAGUGAACCUAACAAGCUACCCCUAACAUGACAGGUCGAGGUGUAACAAAUGAGUGGGUAAAAGAUGGGCUACAUUUUCUUCCAUGCAGAAAAUACGAAUAAACUAUGAAACUAAAAACUGAAGGUGGAUUUAGCAGUAUGUUAAGGAUAAAAUACUUA
RNAcentral lists this ribosomal RNA (289 nucleotides) under Atractus major (brown ground snake). Its description in RNAcentral is "partial small subunit ribosomal RNA". The record is from RNAcentral. Lineage: Eukaryota; Metazoa; Chordata; Lepidosauria; Squamata; Dipsadidae.